GAGUUUGAUCGUGGCUCAGAGCGAACGCUGGCGGCAGGCCUAACACAUGCAAGUCGAACGAUCCUUCGGGAUAGUGGCGGACGGGUGAGUAACACGUGGGAACGUGCCCUUUGGUACGGAACAACUCAGGGAAACUUGAGCUAAUACCGUAUGUGCCCUUCGGGGGAAGAUUUAUCGCCAUUGGAGCGGCCCGCGUCUGAUUAGCUAGUUGGUGAGGUAACGGCUCACCAAGGCGACGAUCAGUAGCUGGUCUGAGAGGAUGAUCAGCCACACUGGGACUGAGACACGGCCCAGACUCCUACGGGAGGCAGCAGUGGGGGAAUCUUGCGCAAUGGGCGAAAGCCUGACGCAGCCAUGCCGCGUGAAUGAUGAAGGUCUUAGGAUUGUAAAAAUUCUUUCACCGGGGACGAUAAUGACGGUACCCGGAGAAGAAG
RNAcentral lists this ribosomal RNA (434 nucleotides) under uncultured Alphaproteobacteria bacterium. RNAcentral's name for it is "bacterial SSU rRNA". It matches the Rfam family "Bacterial small subunit ribosomal RNA", at positions 9 to 490 of the family's 1533-position model. The record is from RNAcentral. Lineage: Bacteria; Pseudomonadati; Pseudomonadota; Alphaproteobacteria.